Molecule: long non-coding RNA, 930 nt
Filed under: Triticum aestivum (bread wheat)
Lineage: Eukaryota; Viridiplantae; Streptophyta; Magnoliopsida; Poales; Poaceae
Description: long non-coding RNA (TAES_LNC000193)
Source: RNAcentral
AGUCUUCUAGCUAUAAGUAGAAGUUGAGAUGUGAUGGCUUCCCAAAGCCCUAUAAAUAGAGGUCUGCACCUCUAGUUUGUAACUCAGCCUAUGUACCCAUAAUAGAACUUGGUGUUCUUAUCUAAGAUCUUGGACUAGAUCUUGUGCUUUAGGAGUUUUGGAUUGAACUCCUGCUGCCAUGUUGAAAUAGUUCCUUCUCACCAGUGUUUUACACUUUGUAGCAGCAAGAUGGAAUUGUUCCUCCACAACCUUGUGUUGCUUCAAUAACCCUGGGACCCAAAGACGGGCGACACCCCUAAUUACAACACCCCGCCAAUAAAUGGUAGGUACCGCCCCCAACGGUAGCAACGCCGCAAGACCUCUCGCACCUGCCGUUGCCCAUUGCCUAGUCUCUGCCUUGAUAGUGUCAAGGAGGCGGGCUAUGCUGAGCUGAGUGUUGUCGAAGAUGACCACGUUACCAUGCUUCCAAACGCACCAUGCCACCAACAUGAUGAUCGAGGAUAUGCCCUUCCUAGCACGCUUGUUGCCACCAGUCCACAAAAUCAUCACCUGCUGGGGGUGGGGAGGUCGUUGAUCGGAUCCAAGAGAGCACCUAAUGCCACAUGGUGCAUCAAAAAGAGCAGCCAGUGAGAAGGUGCGCCAUCGUCUCCUCCGACUGGUCGCAAAGCACACAGCUAGGUGCAUCUUGCAAGCUUCGUCUUACCAGUCCCUCAGCGGUCCAGCAACGAUCUUGACAGGCAAGCCACACGAAGAAGUUGACCCUGGGGGAGCCCAAGGCUUCCAGUUCAAGAGUAUUGUAUCAGCUCUUGGUGUACUAUCCGUCCAGGGUCCAACGCCACAGGAGGACGUCCGGCGAGGCCGAAAGCAACACCCCGCUCACCAUUCACCAAAAAACCUGGAUGUACUUCUGAAGGGACAGCGGGCUUANNN